UGGGGAAUAUUGCACAAUGGGCGCAAGCCUGAUGCAGCCAUGCCGCGUGUAUGAAGAAGGCCUUCGGGUUGUAAAGUACUUUCAGCGGGGAGGAAGGGAGUAAAGUUAAUACCUUUGCUCAUUGACGUUACCCGCAGAAGAAGCACCGGCUAACUCCGUGCCAGCAGCCGCGGUAAUACGGAGGGUGCAAGCGUUAAUCGGAAUCACUGGGCGUAAAGCGCACGCAGGCGGUUUGUUAAGUAAGAUGUGAAAUCCUCGGGCUCAACCUGGGAACUGCAUCUGGUACUGGCAAGGUUGAGGCUCGUAAAGGGGGGUAGAAUUCCAGGUGUAACGGUGAAAUGCGUAGAGAUCGGGAGGAAUACCGGUUGCGAAGGCGGGCCCCUGGACGAUAACUGACGCUCAGGUGGGAAAGGGGGGGGAGCAAACAGG
This 429-nucleotide ribosomal RNA is filed under the name Chloroflexota bacterium. RNAcentral's name for it is "Chloroflexi bacterium partial 16S ribosomal RNA". It matches the Rfam family "Bacterial small subunit ribosomal RNA", at positions 355 to 776 of the family's 1533-position model. The record is from RNAcentral. Lineage: Bacteria; Bacillati; Chloroflexota.